AGCGUACACGGUGGAUGCCCUGGCAGUCAGAGGCGAUGAAGGACGUGCUAAUCUGCGAUAAGCGUCGGUGAGGUGAUAUGAACCGUUAUAACCGGCGAUUUCCGAAUGGGGAAACCCAGUGUGUUUCGACACACUAUCAUUAACUGAAUCCAUAGGUUAAUGAGGCGAACCGGGGGAACUGAAACAUCUAAGUACCCCGAGGAAAAGAAAUCAACCGAGAUUCCCCCAGUAGCGGCGAGCGAACGGGGAGGAGCCCAGAGCCUGAAUCAGUGUGUGUAUUAGUGGAAGCGUCUGGAAAGGCGCGCGAUACAGGGUGACAGCCCCGUACACAAAAAUGCACAUGCUGUGAGCUCGAUGAGUAGGGCGGGACACGUGGUAUCCUGUCUGAAUAUGGGGGGACCAUCCUCCAAGGCUAAAUACUCCUGACUGACCGAUAGUGAACCAGUACCGUGAGGGAAAGGCGAAAAGAACCCCGGCGAGGGGAGUGAAAAAGAACCUGAAACCGUGUACGUACAAGCAGUGGGAGCCUCUUAAUGGGGUGACUGCGUACCUUUUGUAUAAUGGGUCAGCGACUUAUAUUCUGUAGCAAGGUUAACCGAAUAGGGGAGCCGAAGGGAAACCGAGUCUUAACUGGGCGUUAAGUUGCAGGGUAUAGACCCGAAACCCGGUGAUCUAGCCAUGGGCAGGUUGAAGGUUGGGUAACACUAACUGGAGGACCGAACCGACUAAUGUUGAAAAAUUAGCGGAUGACUUGUGGCUGGGGGUGAAAGGCCAAUCAAACCGGGAGAUAGCUGGUUCUCCCCGAAAGCUAUUUAGGUAGCGCCUCGUGAAUUCAUCUCCGGGGGUAGAGCACUGUUUCGGCAAGGGGGUCAUCCCGACUUACCAACCCGAUGCAAACUGCGAAUACCGGAGAAUGUUAUCACGGGAGACACACGGCGGGUGCUAACGUCCGUCGUGAAGAGGGAAACAACCCAGACCGCCAGCUAAGGUCCCAAAGUCAUGGUUAAGUGGGAAACGAUGUGGGAAGGCCCAGACAGCCAGGAUGUUGGCUUAGAAGCAGCCAUCAUUUAAAGAAAGCGUAAUAGCUCACUGGUCGAGUCGGCCUGCGCGGAAGAUGUAACGGGGCUAAACCAUGCACCGAAGCUGCGGCAGCGACACUAUGUGUUGUUGGGUAGGGGAGCGUUCUGUAAGCCUGUGAAGGUGGCCUGUGAGGGUUGCUGGAGGUAUCAGAAGUGCGAAUGCUGACAUAAGUAACGAUAAAGCGGGUGAAAAGCCCGCUCGCCGGAAGACCAAGGGUUCCUGUCCAACGUUAAUCGGGGCAGGGUGAGUCGACCCCUAAGGCGAGGCCGAAAGGCGUAGUCGAUGGGAAACAGGUUAAUAUUCCUGUACUUGGUGUUACUGCGAAGGGGGGACGGAGAAGGCUAUGUUGGCCGGGCGACGGUUGUCCCGGUUUAAGCGUGUAGGCUGGUUUUCCAGGCAAAUCCGGAAAACCAAGGCUGAGGCGUGAUGACGAGGCACUACGGUGCUGAAGUGACAAAUGCCCUGCUUCCAGGAAAAGCCUCUAAGCAUCAGGUAACAUCAAAUCGUACCCCAAACCGACACAGGUGGUCAGGUAGAGAAUACCAAGGCGCUUGAGAGAACUCGGGUGAAGGAACUAGGCAAAAUGGUGCCGUAACUUCGGGAGAAGGCACGCUGAUAUGUAGGUGAAGCGACUUGCUCGUGGAGCUGAAAUCAGUCGAAGAUACCAGCUGGCUGCAACUGUUUAUUAAAAACACAGCACUGUGCAAACACGAAAGUGGACGUAUACGGUGUGACGCCUGCCCGGUGCCGGAAGGUUAAUUGAUGGGGUUAGCGGUAACGCGAAGCUCUUGAUCGAAGCCCCGGUAAACGGCGGCCGUAACUAUAACGGUCCUAAGGUAGCGAAAUUCCUUGUCGGGUAAGUUCCGACCUGCACGAAUGGCGUAAUGAUGGCCAGGCUGUCUCCACCCGAGACUCAGUGAAAUUGAACUCGCUGUGAAGAUGCAGUGUACCCGCGGCAAGACGGAAAGACCCCGUGAACCUUUACUAUAGCUUGACACUGAACAUUGAGCCUUGAUGUGUAGGAUAGGUGGGAGGCUUUGAAGUGUGGACGCCAGUCUGCAUGGAGCCGACCUUGAAAUACCACCCUUUAAUGUUUGAUGUUCUAACGUUGGCCCGUAAUCCGGGUUGCGGACAGUGUCUGGUGGGUAGUUUGACUGGGGCGGUCUCCUCCUAAAGAGUAACGGAGGAGCACGAAGGUUGGCUAAUCCUGGUCGGACAUCAGGAGGUUAGUGCAAUGGCAUAAGCCAGCUUGACUGCGAGCGUGACGGCGCGAGCAGGUGCGAAAGCAGGUCAUAGUGAUCCGGUGGUUCUGAAUGGAAGGGCCAUCGCUCAACGGAUAAAAGGUACUCCGGGGAUAACAGGCUGAUACCGCCCAAGAGUUCAUAUCGACGGCGGUGUUUGGCACCUCGAUGUCGGCUCAUCACAUCCUGGGGCUGAAGUAGGUCCCAAGGGUAUGGCUGUUCGCCAUUUAAAGUGGUACGCGAGCUGGGUUUAGAACGUCGUGAGACAGUUCGGUCCCUAUCUGCCGUGGGCGCUGGAGAACUGAGGGGGGCUGCUCCUAGUACGAGAGGACCGGAGUGGACGCAUCACUGGUGUUCGGGUUGUCAUGCCAAUGGCACUGCCCGGUAGCUAAAUGCGGAAGAGAUAAGUGCUGAAAGCAUCUAAGCACGAAACUUGCCCCGAGAUGAGUUCU
Molecule: ribosomal RNA, 2773 nt
Filed under: Escherichia coli
Lineage: Bacteria; Pseudomonadati; Pseudomonadota; Gammaproteobacteria; Enterobacterales; Enterobacteriaceae
Description: bacterial LSU rRNA
Rfam family: Bacterial large subunit ribosomal RNA
Source: RNAcentral